AUCUCCUUUGGGAUUUACUUUGCAAUCAGCUUUGAAGCCACAGUGAAUGUGGCAAAGGGAAGUCCCAACGGUCCAAACAGGAAGUCAUCGUCAACACCUGGCAUUACAAAUUCUGACCCUCCCCUAAUUCAUCCGAGAUCACACUGCCAAAAGCGUCCAGGCCGUGUCCACAGUCACCAGCCGAGAGUCUGACACAAACCACCAACCCCCCUCCAGCCCCUGUCUCCACCCAUCACACCCUCCAAUUUCAGGACUGCAUCCCAAGCCUGGCAUUCCAUCUGUGCAGCUCUGCAUCUCCUUACCGUUCUGCCUGUCCAUCCCAAAAAGCACACAGAGAGGAGCUGCAUUCCAGGGGUGUGAGUUUAUCCCUUUAAAUCACUGUGUUUCUGGGAGUCUGCUGCAGUUAUCUAAAUCCUGAUGUUCAGAAAUUCACAUUAACCCCUUGCCAAGAGCUGAUCAAGUACUGCACAUCGGUCCGAUGCAUCAUUUGACCCAUGAUGCCCCCAAGAUCACACACCCUUCCACUCAGGGUCAUCCAGGCAUGCAUAAGGGAUAAGAGGCUUCAGCUUCAAUCAUAUAGCCUCUUUCUGUACAACUGGAUGCUCGUGUCAGUUUCAAAGAAAUCUGAAUAAUGCAGAGUUAGUUAAAACAUUAAGACGACAUUUUUUUCUUCUUUUUCUUCUUUUCAGUCUUAAAGCUAAAGUGUCAUUUGAUGUUUUAAACUACUAGAAUGUAUCCUUUUGUAGGCUGAUUCCCCUGAAACGUGUAAACACUGAGGUGCUAUCAAAACAUUGUUGUGUUUGUUCGAGAAUCCCUACCAGUCCGACAUAGCAACACUGGCUCAACCAGUGGUGGG
This is a long non-coding RNA of Cyprinus carpio carpio, 856 nucleotides long. The record is from Ensembl. NCBI's taxonomy places the organism in Eukaryota, Metazoa, Chordata, Actinopteri, Cypriniformes, Cyprinidae.